UGUCAUUCCUAACGGAGCCCACAUUUUUGAGUGCCCCCUCCACCUGUGCAACCCAUAUAAUUCAUGAUGGGGUAAACCUGAUUGGUAAUAUUACUCCCCCUUACCAGUGACUGGCUGAGGAAUGGAGUCCUUAAAUUGACCAGUGAGACCUGAAGGGAGGUUUGCUGGGGCUCCUGGAAAGUGUUUUGCCCAGUCUCAGGGCCCAGGAAUGCUUGCAGAAGUGAUCCUCUUAACUCUUUUUCUGGAUCUUGACAUGUUUGCUCCAUAAAAAUCUAUAAAAUAAAUAUCAGGAAGAGGUUGUAGCAAACAGAGAAGACCUACGAUGGGAAAAAUUCUCAGCAGUGAUGCAAUUUUAAAGCUACAGUGCCGGGAGACUGUUUCAUGCUCAGAAAUAAUCUCUCCAUCUUCAAUGAGAGCAGCUUCUGUGACAUGUUUCUGACUAGUAGAAUAUGAUGGAUGUCAUGUCUAUGAUUAAGUUACAUGAGAGUGAGAUAGAGAAACCUAUUCUCUUCCUGAUACACUUUGAUGAAGCAAAUUGCUGUGUUGGAGAAGCCCACCAAGGAAAUGAGAGUGACCUAUGGCCAACAGCACUCCAAGAGCCUUUGAAAAACUGAAGCUCUGCCAACAACAGCUCCUUCCCCAGUCAAGUCUUCAGAUAAGACCUCAGCCCUGGCCAUCCUUACUUGCAGUCUUGUAAGAGACUCAGAAGCAAAGAACCCUGCUAAAUCAUGCCUGGAUCUCUGACUUAGGGAAACUAUAAGAUAAUAAAUGUAUAUUGCUUUAGGCCUCUAAA
Canis lupus familiaris (dog) is the source of this 793-nucleotide long non-coding RNA. RefSeq lists it as uncharacterized. The transcript has 3 exons. The record is from RefSeq and is a predicted model, not a curated record. Lineage: Eukaryota; Metazoa; Chordata; Mammalia; Carnivora; Canidae.